Molecule: ribosomal RNA, 795 nt
Filed under: uncultured bacterium
Lineage: Bacteria
Description: bacterial SSU rRNA
Rfam family: Bacterial small subunit ribosomal RNA
Source: RNAcentral
CAGUCGAACGAGUUCUCGUUGAAUCUCGGUGCUUGCACCGAGAUUCAACAUGGAACGAGUGGCGGACGGGUGAGUAACACGUGGGUAACCUGCCCUUAAGUGGGGGAUAACAUUUGGAAACAGAUGCUAAUACCGCAUAGAUCCAAGAACCGCAUGGUUCUUGGCUGAAAGAUGGCGUAAGCUAUCGCUUUUGGAUGGACCCGCGGCGUAUUAGCUAGUUGGUGAGGUAAUGGCUCACCAAGGCGAUGAUACGUAGCCGAACUGAGAGGUUGAUCGGCCAUAUUGGGACUGAGACACGGCCCAAACUCCUACGGGAGGCAGCAGUAGGGAAUCUUCCACAAUGGACGCAAGUCUGAUGGAGCAACGCCGCGUGAGUGAAGAAGGCUUUCGGGUCGUAAAACUCUGUUGUUGGAGAAGAAUGGUCGGCAGAGUAACUGUUGUCGGCGUGACGGUAUCCAACCAGAAAGCCACGGCUAACUACGUGCCAGCAGCCGCGGUAAUACGUAGGUGGCAAGCGUUAUCCGGAUUUAUUGGGCGUAAAGCGAGCGCAGGCGGUUUUUUAAGUCUGAUGUGAAAGCCCUCGGCUUAACCGAGGAAGCGCAUCGGAAACUGGGAAACUUGAGUGCAGAAGAGGACAGUGGAACUCCAUGUGUAGCGGUGAAAUGCGUAGAUAUAUGGAAGAACACCAGUGGCGAAGGCGGCUGUCUGGUCUGUAACUGACGCUGAGGCUCGAAAGCAUGGGUAGCGAACAGGAUUAGAUACCCUGGUAGUCCAUGCCGUAUACGAUGAAUGCUA